This 307-nucleotide long non-coding RNA is filed under the name Parus major (Great Tit). RNAcentral's name for it is "lncRNA (ENSPMJG00000003583.1)". The record is from RNAcentral. Lineage: Eukaryota; Metazoa; Chordata; Aves; Passeriformes; Paridae.
AUGUACAUCAUCAACCCCUGCACUGAAAGGACUUUUGAACCUCAGAUAAGAUGCUUCCAACUUGAAACAGAACAGUCCAGAACUGAUUUGCACAGAACUUUUGAUUGUGCUUGUGAAAGUGUUGUCACAGGUGGCAAAGACAGAUGAGAGUGUGGAGCCAUCAUUCACACCAGCAUCAAGGGCCAAGAAGGUUGGUCUGGAGCUGGCUAAGGUUCAUCUGCAGGGCUAUGGAUAGUUGUUGUUCCUUCCAGGGUAAAACAGUGAAGAUGACCCACCACCAGCGUUUACCCAUUGUUUCCCAUUGGGA